GACGAAGGUGGCUAACGUUAUUCGGUAUCACUGGGCUUAAAGCGUGUGUAGGCGGUCAAGUAAGCGUCGUGUGAAAUCUCCCGGCUUAACCGGGGAACGGCUCGAUGAACUGCUUGACUUGAGGCAGGCAGGGGUGCAUAGAACUCUUGGUGGAGCGGUGGAAUGCGUAGAUAUCAAGAGGAAUGCCAGUGGUGAAGACGGUGCACUGGGCCUGCCCUGACGCUGAGACACGAAAGCGUGGGGAG
Molecule: ribosomal RNA, 245 nt
Filed under: uncultured bacterium
Lineage: Bacteria
Description: partial 16S ribosomal RNA
Rfam family: Bacterial small subunit ribosomal RNA
Source: RNAcentral